This is a long non-coding RNA of Mustela erminea (ermine), 1976 nucleotides long. RefSeq lists it as uncharacterized. The record is from RefSeq and is a predicted model, not a curated record. The transcript has 3 exons. Lineage: Eukaryota; Metazoa; Chordata; Mammalia; Carnivora; Mustelidae.
UAUUUGGUUGUAAAGGUAGCUGUGAUCAGCAGGCAGAUUCCUCUUGGGAGCCAGAUCUGAUCCUAUGUCCCUCUGUGUUUCCCUUUUAUACAUUCCCAUACUUUGGACAGAGCAUUACCUUAAAAUUCUGGCCUUUUCUUCCAAUGGGAUAAAAAGCAUAGUUGGGGGCCCCGUGUGAUGUCCCAGAGCUAAAGGGGAAAUGAUGUCACUUUGGUGCUGAUGGCAACAAGAAUGUGAUUAAAGCGUCCUAAGUGGCCAUGAGGGCAAACGCACAGUUGGGAGGGAGAGAUGAGAGAGUAGCCCUUGAAUACUGAGUCAUUUCCCCAGAGACUCUAAGCAUAAUAUAUUACAUGUGUACUAUCUGAGGACAGACAACUAAAACUCCAGGUUCAGAGCUUUCUGGUCUACCGCGCCCAGGCAGCUCCGAGAAGGACACACCUUGCCGUCUAAUUAGAACCCCGAACAGUGACCCACCUUCCCAUGAUUCCCCUGGCAGGCUACAUGAGGACAGCUACUUUCCUGAUCCACCCGUGUGAUGGAUCUGCUCUUCCCCACACAGAAAUGGCAUGGAGCUAGGAGCAAGGCUGUGCGGCCUCGAGAUGGAUGCCCCCAUGAGUGUACUUACGGGGUCGGAGUCACCUUUGGGAAGAAUCUUCUAUCUGGUCCUUAUGUCCGUUUCAGCCGUAAGGAGCCUGCGUUUUGGAACACAAGAAUAAAACUCUGAAGCCAUCCCAUUUAACUGGUACUUUUCAAGAUGGCAGCCACAAGAUGAACAUUCAAGAGUAGAACCAUGCACCCUCUGCCUAGUGAUCGCAUGUGUCUGGGAUAAGUAGGUUUUUCCAACCCUUUAAGGCUGAAAGGGAUGGGGGACAGUGAGAAGACUGGUUACUAAGCACCUCAGUGUUCCACAGGUUUGAGCAAUGGGGAAUUGUUACUGGGCAAUGCUAGCCCACUGGAGAAGGGAAGUAGGUCUAAGCAUUCGUGAUGGUUUAGAUGAAAGGGAAGGUGAUUUAUGGCACAAGUUUCUCUUGUUAAUGAAGUUAAGAACCCUGCCUACAGUCUUCUCCCAUUGUAACCCUGGCUUUCCCUCCUGCCCUUUGGGGGCAUUUACAGACUCUCAGAGGGCAGGGGUCUUGGCACCCAUCUUUAUGUCUCUCUAGUACAAAUAUCUGAUAGCAUGGUAUAUACUUGGCAUCAUAAAAGUUUUAAUGAUGAACCACAGAUACAUACUUACCAACCAAAGGACCCUUUGGAUAAGAAGGGUAUAGAGGUUACAGAAGAGACCUGAGAUCUAACCACGUCUUCCCUAAUUUCCAUUUACUAAUUAAACACAUUUUUAUUAAGUCUCUAUCCCAUGUUAGAUACCAUGAUAGUUGCUAUGGGGGGAUCAUCGAUGUGGCCCCAUCAGUAGCUGGCAUAACUCUAGUGCCAAUAUAUGGGCCAACACCACUGUGAAAUAGAACUUCUUUCCUGUACAUCAAAAGAUAAGGAAAGAAAAAAAAGGAAAACAUGAACUUUGGCUCUGCCUGACUCAGGCUCAAUUCCACUUAAAAUCUUUUAUCAGAAACAUGUUACCAGACAUAUUAAUAAUCAGGUAUUUUGAGAAAACAGAGGCCCUAAAAGCAAUAAUUCUAUUGAAGGUAAUAGUACUUACCCAGAUGCCUUAAAACCACCUUCCUUCAUAGGUAGAAAGGAUAGGAAAUGUGUUUUCUUUUCUUUUUCUUUUUUUUUUUUUUUUGCAGUGUUCAGUGAUUCAUUAGUUGAGGAUAACACCCAGCGCUCAUCAUAGCAUGUGCCCUCCUGCCCUCCUACAUACCAUCAUCCUGUAACCCCCCUCCGCCCAGAUUGUUUCUCCCUUUUGAAACCUCCAGAUUGUUUCUCAGGGUCCACAGUCUCUCAAGGUUCAGAAUAUGAAAUGUUCUAUUGCUGACUUACGGUAAUAAUUUUUAAAAAAAAUUAAAGCCCCAGGUAGCAAG